CGUCUAUAUACGUAUAGCAUAUCAAUAAGCGGAGGAAAAGAAACUAACAAGGAUUCCCUUAGUAACGGCGAGUGAAGCGGGAAGAGCUCAAAUUUGAAAUCUUCAAGGUUCUACCUUGACGAAUUGUAGUUUAUAGAAGUGUUUUCUGUUAGUGGAGUGGCAAAAGUUCUUUGGAAUAGGACAUCAUAGAGGGUGAGAAUCCCGUAUUUGGUCAUUCCUCCUAGCGUUGUGAUACACUUUCAACGAGUCGGAUUGUUUGGGAAUGCAGUCCAAAAUGGGUGGUAAAUUUCAUCUAAAGCUAAAUAUUGGCGAGAGACCGAUAGCGAACAAGUACCGUGAGGGAAAGAUGAAAAGAACUUUGAAAAGAGAGUUAAACAGUACGUGAAAUUGUCAAAAGGGAAGCGUUUGACACCAGUGUUGUUUUUCCGAAAAUCAAUUACGAAUGUUUUAUUUUUGAGAAGUUAUGACUUCAUCGGCUUGCUCCUUUCUUUAUGAAACUUUCUUAAUGCACUUUUCGGUUAACAAGUCAACAUCAAUUUCUUUUGUUGUAAAAGGGUAUGAGGAAGGUGGCUUUCUUUUCGGAGAAAGUGUUUAUAGCCUUGUGCCUCUGCAAUCGGAGAGAUUGAGGUCUGCAGCGUAGAUCCUUCGGGGUUAGAUACGUUUGUGCUAAGUUAUAGCUUUUCAUAGACAACUUGUUGACUAUGUUUAGUCUUGUAGCUUACUCGCUUAUGCUAUUUUACCUACGCUUAGGAUGUUGAUAUGCAUGACUGAUAU
This 774-nucleotide ribosomal RNA is filed under the name uncultured Neocallimastigales. RNAcentral describes it as "partial large subunit ribosomal RNA". It matches the Rfam family "Eukaryotic large subunit ribosomal RNA", at positions 26 to 643 of the family's 3401-position model. Lineage: Eukaryota; Fungi; Neocallimastigomycota; Neocallimastigomycetes; Neocallimastigales. The record is from RNAcentral.